CAACACAGAAAACCGACGUCGAACAAGCCUAAUUUGCGCUUGUGAUUUGACUGAGAUGGCAUGCGAGCUAGGACAUCGCUUCUCGAGCAGGGAUCCAACCUAGCCACACAAGCCGAACACCACUCAUGUGUCGCACGUACACUUGCCUCGCCGAUAUAAAGCCAACACCAGCCCCAACACGCGACGCGCAGCCAUGUGUUGUUGCCGAUGCCAACAUUGCAAAGCCAAGACAAGCCCCGCAAAGCACGAAUCCCCAACACGUGACGCGCAGCCAUGUGUUGUUGCCGAUGCCAACAUUGCAAAGCCAAGACAAGCCCCGCAAAGCAUGAAUAGGGGGUUUGAACAAUGCCAGACACAACCCACAACAACCGAUGGCAAUCGGCAACUUUCUGAGCUUCGCCUCAUGCGCACGGCACCUUGCGGCACUACUUGUAAGACGCUUUGCCAUUUUGUUGCCAAAAUCCAUCAGCCGCCACGAGCGAUGUCGUCUCCUGAUGUUGCCCGCAACAACCGAUGGCAAUCGGCAACAUACUAAGCUUCGCCUCGUGCGCACGACACCUUGCGGCGCUACUUGCACGAUGCUUUGCCAAUUUGUUACCAAAAGCCAUCAGCCGCCAUGAGCGAUGUCGCCUCCCGAUGUCGCCCGCAACAACCGAUGGCAACAGCAACUUACUAAGCGUUGCCCCGUGAGCACGGCACCUUGCGGCGCUACUUGCAUGAUGCUUUGCCAUUUUUUUGCCAAAACCCAUCUGCUGCCACGAGCGAUGUCGCCUCCCGAUGUUUCCCGCAACAACUGAUGGAAAUGAACAUCUACUGAGCUUCGCCUCGUGCGCACGGAACCUUGCGGCGCUACUUGCACGAUGCUCCGCCGUUCGUUGUCAAAAGCCAUAAGCCGCCACGGAGACACAACUCACAACAAUC
RNAcentral lists this long non-coding RNA (921 nucleotides) under Nicotiana benthamiana. Its description in RNAcentral is "long non-coding RNA (NBEN_LNC041950)". The record is from RNAcentral. Lineage: Eukaryota; Viridiplantae; Streptophyta; Magnoliopsida; Solanales; Solanaceae.